GGUUUAUUGUUGUUAUUAGUGGGUAUAGCACUGAAUAUCUUAAAUAAAAAGGGAGUAUGAAAGUAUUUACCUUGGAUAUUUAAUCUCAGAAUAACUAAUAAUUGAAAUGAACUAUCAGACUUUUUGCGAUAAGGUGAA
Molecule: ribosomal RNA, 138 nt
Filed under: Pneumocystis sp.
Lineage: Eukaryota; Fungi; Ascomycota; Pneumocystomycetes; Pneumocystales; Pneumocystaceae
Description: partial large subunit ribosomal RNA
Source: RNAcentral